RNAcentral lists this ribosomal RNA (253 nucleotides) under uncultured bacterium. RNAcentral describes it as "partial 16S ribosomal RNA". It matches the Rfam family "Bacterial small subunit ribosomal RNA", at positions 524 to 776 of the family's 1533-position model. The record is from RNAcentral.
UACGUAUGGUGCAAGCGUUAUCCGGAUUUACUGGGUGUAAAGGGAGCGCAGGCGGCGCGGCAAGUCCGAUGUGAAAACCCCCGGCUCAACCGGGGGACUGCAUUGGAAACUACCGGGCUGGAGUGCCGGAGAGGUAGGCGGAAUUCCUGGUGUAGCGGUGAAAUGCGUAGAUAUCAGGAGGAACACCAGUGGCGAAGGCGGCCUACUGGACUGCAACUGACGUUGAGGCCCGAAAGCGUGGGGAGCAAACAGG